AGCGUGGAGACAGGUGGUGCAUGGCUGUCGUCAGCUCGUGUCGUGAGAUGUUGGGUUAAGUCCCGCAACGAGCGCAACCCUCACCCCUAGUUGCCACCGGGUUAAGCCGAGCACUCAAGGGGAACUGCCAGCGUCAAGCUGGAGGAAGGCGGGGAUGACGUCAAGUCAUCAUGCCCCUUACGCCCUGGGCUACACACGUGCUACAAUGGCCAGUACAAAGGGACGCGGGACUGCGAAGUGGAGCUAAUCCCAAAAAGCUGGUCUAAGUUCAGACUGCAGUCUGCAACCCGACUGCAUGAAGGAGGAAUCGCUAGUAAUCGCGUAUCAGCCCGGCGCGGUGAAUACGUUCCCGGGCCUUGUACACACCGCCCGUCACACCACGAAAGCUGUCUGUACUCGAAGUCGCUGAG
Molecule: ribosomal RNA, 410 nt
Filed under: uncultured Methylomirabilota bacterium
Lineage: Bacteria; Methylomirabilota (SeqCode)
Description: bacterial SSU rRNA
Rfam family: Bacterial small subunit ribosomal RNA
Source: RNAcentral